GUCUACAGUCAUGCCACCCUGAACCCAGAACAAGCCUGAUGUCUGAUCUCGGAAGCUAAGCAGGGUUGGGCUUGGUUAGUACUUGGAUGGGAGACCAUCUAGGAAGACCAGGUGCUGUACGCA
RNAcentral lists this ribosomal RNA (123 nucleotides) under Pteropus alecto (black flying fox). Lineage: Eukaryota; Metazoa; Chordata; Mammalia; Chiroptera; Pteropodidae. The record is from RNAcentral.